GAAUGUACAAACUGUAAGUCGCUCUGGAUAAGAGCGUCUGCUAAAUGACUCAAA
Non-coding RNA from Salmo salar (Atlantic salmon), 54 nucleotides. The record is from Rfam. NCBI's taxonomy places the organism in Eukaryota, Metazoa, Chordata, Actinopteri, Salmoniformes, Salmonidae.